RNAcentral lists this long non-coding RNA (392 nucleotides) under Brassica rapa (field mustard). RNAcentral's name for it is "long non-coding RNA (BRAP_LNC002968)". Lineage: Eukaryota; Viridiplantae; Streptophyta; Magnoliopsida; Brassicales; Brassicaceae. The record is from RNAcentral.
CGGGGGUUGAUCCGAAGAUGGAGGCGUCGGAGAAUAGCUCCGGCAACGACGGAGUCGUUCCUGUUCAGACCAGAGCUCUGUUUCUCAGCGAAGAUUACUUCAACUUCGACAUCUCAGCUUCCAAAACAACUUUCCCACACGGAUUCAGCUGCAUUAAUCAAACUGUAAGGUCCCUCUCUCUCACGUGGAGAUGAAACUAGUCAGAUCUUGAAAACUUUGUGUUUUGUUAAAUGUUAGGUUUCGUCAACAUCGUUAGAUGUACCGUUGGUGCCCGAAGGUGGAGCUGUGGCGGAGAUGUCAAGAACGACGGCAGCACCAGCUCUGCAGCUAUCUCCUGCGGAGAGAGAGGCUAGGGUUUUGAGGUAUAGGGAGAAGAGGAAGAAUCGGAAGUU